This 71-nucleotide transfer RNA is filed under the name Marmota monax (woodchuck). Its description in RNAcentral is "tRNA.Thr". It matches the Rfam family "tRNA". From Rfam's summary of the family: Transfer RNA (tRNA) molecules are approximately 80 nucleotides in length. Their secondary structure includes four short double-helical elements and three loops (D, anti-codon, and T loops). Lineage: Eukaryota; Metazoa; Chordata; Mammalia; Rodentia; Sciuridae. The record is from RNAcentral.
GGGGAUGUGGCUCAGCGGUAGAGCGCUCGCCUAGUAUGUGUGAGGCCCUGGGUUCGAUUCUCAGCACCACA